AGUGAACGCUGGCGGUAGGCCUAACACAUGCAAGUCGAACGGCAGCACAGUAAGAGCUUGCUCUUACGGGUGGCGAGUGGCGGACGGGUGAGGAAUACAUCGGAAUCUACUUUUUCGUGGGGGAUAACGUAGGGAAACUUACGCUAAUACCGCAUACGACCUACGGGUGAAAGCAGGGGAUCUUCGGACCUUGCGCGAUUGGAUGAGCCGAUGUCGGAUUAGCUAGUUGGCGGGGUAGAGGCCCACCAAGGCGACGAUCCGUAGCUGGUCUGAGAGGAUGAUCAGCCACACUGGAACUGAGACACGGUCCAGACUCCUACGGGAGGCAGCAGUGGGGAAUAUUGGACAAUGGGCGCAAGCCUGAUCCAGCCAUACCGCGUGGGUGAAGAAGGCCUUCGGGUUGUAAAGCCCUUUUGUUGGGAAAGAAAAGCAGCAGGUUAAUACCCCGCUGUUCUGACGGUACCCAAAGAAUAAGCACCGGCUAACUUCGUG
This 492-nucleotide ribosomal RNA is filed under the name uncultured bacterium. RNAcentral's name for it is "partial 16S ribosomal RNA". It matches the Rfam family "Bacterial small subunit ribosomal RNA", at positions 29 to 507 of the family's 1533-position model. The record is from RNAcentral.